This 24-nucleotide non-coding RNA is filed under the name Arabidopsis thaliana (thale cress). Lineage: Eukaryota; Viridiplantae; Streptophyta; Magnoliopsida; Brassicales; Brassicaceae. The record is from RNAcentral.
GACUCCGGUGUAAUUUACGCCAAA